UUUAGAGGGGAUUAUUAAAUAUAGUAAGAAUUUUUUUAGGGGUAAAAAAAAGAAUUAUUAUUUUAGUAAAAAUAGGGGAACAAUUAUUGGUAAUUAUAGUUUAAUAGUAUCGUGAAAGAAUUUUUUUUUAGGGGUAAAAGAAAAAUUUUUAUUUGUACCUUGUGUCUCAGGGUUUAUCGAAUAUUAUUAAAAUUAUAGUUUCUCGAAUUUAAAAGAGCUAAAAUUAUAUUAUUUUAUUGUAAAAUAAACAUUUAUAAUAUAAUUUUAGAAAUGAAAUGUUAUUCGUUUUUAAUAUAUCUAGUUAUUCAAGAAAAAAAUUUAAUUUUGUUUUUAUUAAGAUAUAAUUUAUUUAAUAAUAGUAUUUUUAUAAAAAGUGAUUUUUGGGGGGAUAAGCUUUUUAAAAAAAAAUUAUAAAAAAAUAAAAAUAAUAAAAAAUUAUAGGAUUAGUAGUGUCCAUUAUUAAAAUAAUGUUAUAAUUAAUUUUGAGGGGUAAAUUAUUUUUAUUUAUUUUAAAUAUUUUAUUGAAUUAAAAAUUUAAAUUGUGAGUAUUUUGAGAAUAUGAUAAAAUUAGUAGAAAUGAAAUUGUAGGGGAGAUAGCUUUAUUAAGGUAAAUUAAAGGAAUUCGGCAAAAUUAUUUUUCACCUGUUUAUUAAAAACAUGGCUUUUUGUAUAUAAUUUAAAGUCUGGCCUGCCCACUGAAGUUUUAAAGGGCCGCGGUAACUUGACCGUGCUAAGGUAGCAUAAUCAUUAGUUUUUUAAUUGAAAGCUGGUAUGAAUGGUUUGAUGAAAAAAUAACUGUCUCUGAUUUAUUUUAAUUGAAUUUUAUAUUUAAGUAAAAAAGCUUAAAUUUUUUUAAAAGACGAGAAGACCCUAUAGAGUUUUAUAAAUUUAAAUUUUAGUACUUUUAGGAUUUUUACUUUUAAAAUUUGAAUUUAUUUGAUUGGGGUGAUUGAAAAAUUUAGUAAACUUUUUUUUUAUUAGAAUAUUAAUUAGUAAGUUUUUGAUCCAUUAAUAAUGAUUAUAAGAUUAAAUUACCUUAGGGAUAACAGCGUAAUUUUUUUUGAGAGUUCAAAUCGAAAGAAAAGAUUGCGACCUCGAUGUUGGAUUAAAAUUAAUUUUUGGUGUAGAGGCUAAGAAUUUUAGGUCUGUUCGACCUUUAAAAUUUUACAUGAUCUGAGUUUAAACCGGUGUGAGCCAGGUUGGUUUCUAUCUUUAAAUGGGGAGUAUAUUUUAGUACGAAAGGACCAAAUAUGUGAUAUAGUUAUUUUUAUAAUGAAUAUCAUU
Molecule: ribosomal RNA, 1284 nt
Filed under: Apriona germarii
Lineage: Eukaryota; Metazoa; Arthropoda; Insecta; Coleoptera; Cerambycidae
Description: Apriona germari 16S ribosomal RNA
Rfam family: Archaeal large subunit ribosomal RNA (bases 592-1284)
Source: RNAcentral